UGCAUUUAUUAUAACAGGUGCUUAAGUUAGGC
This 32-nucleotide non-coding RNA is filed under the name Rattus norvegicus (Norway rat). Lineage: Eukaryota; Metazoa; Chordata; Mammalia; Rodentia; Muridae. The record is from RNAcentral.